UACCGGCAAGCCAGAGCAAACGAUGACGACGGAGCGAUAGCGGGUCCAUCGUAUCACCACCAUCGUCAGCAGGAAGAUGACCUCGUACAGCCCGAGAAUCAGCUGGGGGUGUAUCCGAUGGAUGCUCGACAGGAGGAGGAGGAGGAGGAGGGGGAGCGUCUAAACGAGGAGCGAUUAGAAGCUAGACGCUUCGGCCUAUGGUUUCAAGAGCUGAUGGAGUGUGAUUCAGGGUACUCGUCAGCUGACUCGUCAGCUAUCUCGUUAUAGGCGUACCGCGAUUAGUACGAGAUAUACAAACGGGC
This is a long non-coding RNA of Venturia canescens, 302 nucleotides long. RefSeq lists it as uncharacterized. NCBI's taxonomy places the organism in Eukaryota, Metazoa, Arthropoda, Insecta, Hymenoptera, Ichneumonidae. The transcript is spliced from 3 exons. The record is from RefSeq and is a predicted model, not a curated record.